GCCCUCCAUGGACCUUAAUCCAUGACUCAGAGUCUGGGGGUGAUUCGCAGGAUUCCGCCCCGGUCCCCCGGGGGGGGGGUCCUGCUUUGGGGGCCAGUGUUAGGGUGACCAGACAGCAAAUGUGAAAAAUCGGGAUGGGGGUGGGGGGUAAUAGGAGCCUAUAUAAGAAAAUCCCCAAAUUUCGGGACUGUCCCUAUAAAAUCAGGACAUCUAGUCACCCUAGUGUGCAGAACGGGGCUCAUCCAGAGGGCUCUGGUUUUUGCACAGAGAGGGAAGCUUGCUCCCUCUGUGUCUUGUUUAUCUUCCUGGGUCAGAUGCCACCUCCCCGUCCAUUGUGAGCCCGGAGCCUGGACUGAGCAGCUGCUGCCCCCCCAGUGGGGUCUGUGGAGGGAGAGACCCACAUUAACCCCCCUCUGUGCCCAGCCCAGGGGUGACUGGAACCAGCCCCCGGGCUCUGCCAACACCCGCCCCUGAGCCGGAGCCAGCAGUGGCGUGGGACGCAAGCAGAAAGUCUUCAGCUUCCAAACAACCCUGCCUGGUACACGUGUGUACUGAUGAAGCGGACUGUAGCUCACGAAAGCUUAUGCUCAAAUAAAUUGGCUAGUCUCUAAGGUG
Molecule: long non-coding RNA, 615 nt
Organism: Caretta caretta (loggerhead turtle)
Lineage: Eukaryota; Metazoa; Chordata; Testudines; Cheloniidae
Source: RefSeq, a predicted model, not a curated record